This 496-nucleotide ribosomal RNA is filed under the name uncultured bacterium. Its description in RNAcentral is "partial 16S ribosomal RNA". It matches the Rfam family "Bacterial small subunit ribosomal RNA", at positions 28 to 506 of the family's 1533-position model. The record is from RNAcentral.
GAUGAACGCUGGCGGCGUGCCUAAUACAUGCAAGUCGAGCGAACAGACGAGGAGCUUGCUCCUCUGACGUUAGCGGCGGACGGGUGAGUAACACGUGGAUAACCUACCUAUAAGACUGGGAUAACUUCGGGAAACCGGAGCUAGUACCGGAUAAUAUAUUGAACCGCAUGGUUCAAUAGUGAAAGACGGUUUUGCUGUCACUUAUAGAUGGAUCCGCGCCGCAUUAGCUAGUUGGUAAGGUAACGGCUUACCAAGGCAACGAUGCGUAGCCGACCUGAGAGGGUGAUCGGCCAAACGGGAACUGAGCCACGGUCCAGACUCCUACGGGAGGCAGCAGUAGGGAAUCUUCCGCAAUGGGCGAAAGCCUGACGGAGCAACGCCGCGUGAGUGAUGAAGGUCUUCGGAUCGUAAAACUCUGUUAUUAGGGAAGAACAAAUGUGUAAGUAACUAUGCACGUCUUGACGGUACCUAAUCAGAAAGCCACGGCUAACUACGU